UACGUAGGGUGCGAGCGUUGUCCAGAAUUACUGGGCGUAAAGAGCUCGUAGGUGGUUUGUCGCGUUGUUCGUGAAAACUCACAACUCAAUUGUGGGCGUGCGGGCGAUACGGGCAGACUGGAGUACUGCAGGGGAGACUGGAAUUCCUGGUGUAGCGGUGGAAUGCGCAGAUAUCAGGAGGAACACCGGUGGCGAAGGCGGGUCUCUGGGCAGUAACUGACGUUGAGGAGCGAAAGCGUGGGGAGCGAACAGG
Molecule: ribosomal RNA, 253 nt
Filed under: uncultured bacterium
Lineage: Bacteria
Description: partial 16S ribosomal RNA
Rfam family: Bacterial small subunit ribosomal RNA
Source: RNAcentral